GCUCUGGUGGCCGAGUGGUUAAGGCGUUGGACUUGAAAUCCAAUUGGGUCUCCCCUCUCUGCUUCGAACCCUGCUCGCAGCA
Molecule: transfer RNA, 82 nt
Filed under: Saccoglossus kowalevskii
Lineage: Eukaryota; Metazoa; Hemichordata; Enteropneusta; Harrimaniidae
Description: tRNA-Ser
Rfam family: tRNA
About the family: Transfer RNA (tRNA) molecules are approximately 80 nucleotides in length.
Source: RNAcentral